RNAcentral lists this long non-coding RNA (298 nucleotides) under Hordeum vulgare. RNAcentral's name for it is "long non-coding RNA (HVUL_LNC021312)". The record is from RNAcentral. Lineage: Eukaryota; Viridiplantae; Streptophyta; Magnoliopsida; Poales; Poaceae.
AGCGACGUUUGUUUCAGAUAAUAAUUUCCACAAAAACAUUUCUGUGUGUAUACCAGCCCCAGGAUUGCUGUUAGCUGGUAGACACUCACUUGAUACAAAAUAUCCAAGCAAAAAUACAAAAUCUGGGUUACAAGACCAUGAAGUUCUACUGGGUUGAACAAAGGUCUAAGGUUGACGGCGGAAGCGACUCGAGGAAUCUCAAGUACCCAUGGGAAUCCAUUCCCACAGGAACAAGUGACCUGGAUAAAUUUCUAUCUCACAAGGCUGCUAUCCUUGACUCCUAGGUUCUAGGGUUNNN